GAUGAACGCUGGCGGCGUGCCUAAUACAUGCAAGUCGAGCGAACAGACGAGGAGCUUGCUCCUCUGACGUUAGCGGCGGACGGGUGAGUAACACGUGGAUAACCUACCUAUAAGACUGGGAUAACUUCGGGAAACCGGAUCUAAUACCGGAUAAUAUAUUGAACUGCAUGGUUCAAUAGUUAAAGACGGUUUUGCUGUCACUUAUAGACGGGUCCGCGCCGCAUUAGCUAGUUGGUAAGGUAACGGCUUACCAAGGCGACGAUGCGUAGCCGACCUGAGAGGGUGAUCGGCCACACUGGAACUGAGACACGGUCCAGACUCCUACGGGAGGCAGCAGUAGGGAAUCUUCCGCAAUGGGCGAAAGCCUGACGGAGCAACGCCGCGUGAGUGAUGAAGGUCUUCGGAUCGUAAAACUCUGUUAUUAGGGAAGAACAAAUGUGUAAGUAACUAUGCACGUCUUGACGGUACCUAAUCAGAAAGCCACGGCUAACUACGUG
Molecule: ribosomal RNA, 497 nt
Filed under: uncultured bacterium
Lineage: Bacteria
Description: partial 16S ribosomal RNA
Rfam family: Bacterial small subunit ribosomal RNA
Source: RNAcentral